Eriocheir sinensis (Chinese mitten crab) is the source of this 681-nucleotide long non-coding RNA. RefSeq lists it as uncharacterized. The record is from RefSeq and is a predicted model, not a curated record. NCBI's taxonomy places the organism in Eukaryota, Metazoa, Arthropoda, Malacostraca, Decapoda, Varunidae. The transcript has 4 exons.
AAAAAGAUGAUGUUAUAACGUAAUAUGGCUUCUUUAAAACAUUUUACCCAUGUUCUCAAAUAUUUCGGGGCUUGCACACUCACAUUGUGUUAGUAGUAUAUCCACGGGUAGUGUUAUGACCCCAGUGAUAGUUUGACAAGGCUUCUGCACUAUCAGCGUGAAGAAACACUCAUGAGGGGUCAAUUUCGGGUGGAAGAGAGGGGUCAAUUUUGGGUGGAGAGAGGUCAGUUACGGGUGGAAGAGAGGGGUCAAUUUUGGGUGGAGAGAGGUCCGUUACGGGUGGAAGAGAGGGUUCAAUUUCGGGUGGAGAGAGGUCAGUUACGGGUGGAAGAGAGGGGUCAAUUUCGGGUGGAAGAGAGGGGUCAAUUUCGGGUGGAGAGAGGUCAGUUACGGGUGGAAGAGAGGGGUCAAUUUCGGGUGGAAGAGAGGGGUCAAUUUCGGGUGGAAGAGAGGGGUCAAUAUCGGGUGGAGAGAGGUCAGUUACGGGUGGAAGAGAGGGGUCAAUUUCGGGUGGAAGAGAGGGGUCAAUUUCGGGUGGAAGAGAGGGGUCAAUUUCGGGUGGAAGAGAGGGGUCAAUAUCGGGUGGAGAGAGGUCAGUUACGGGUGGAAGAGAGGGGUCAAUUUCGGGUGGAGAGAGGUCAGUUACGGGUGGAAGAGAGGGGUCAAUUUCGGGUGGAAGAG